RNAcentral lists this long non-coding RNA (315 nucleotides) under Salvia miltiorrhiza (redroot sage). RNAcentral's name for it is "long non-coding RNA (SMIL_LNC008805)". The record is from RNAcentral. Lineage: Eukaryota; Viridiplantae; Streptophyta; Magnoliopsida; Lamiales; Lamiaceae.
CAAACUGUUUAUCCGAUAAAAUAUUUUUGUGCACUCUGCUCUGUUUAAGGUUCGCAUAAGUUAAUCGAUCGAGGUUCUCUCUUGACCUAACACGUUAUUUGAGAAUUGUGUACACCUAUUAGCUAACUCAGUGGGUUGAUAUCCAUUCGGGCACUAAUCAUGUAUGAAGCGUUACAAGGGUGCUCGACGGGAUGUGUUCCGGAGCAUUAGGUCCCAAAUGGGAACUUGGCUGAGUUACGGCCUCAGUUCAAGUGAGUAGGAGUAAUGGAUCCGUCGGUGGCUAAAAGGUCCGGGAUCACAACGAGUAACGAAAAG